This is a long non-coding RNA of Morus notabilis, 485 nucleotides long. RefSeq lists it as uncharacterized. The record is from RefSeq and is a predicted model, not a curated record. NCBI's taxonomy places the organism in Eukaryota, Viridiplantae, Streptophyta, Magnoliopsida, Rosales, Moraceae. The transcript has 3 exons.
UCUCUCUCUCUAACUCCCACGAUUUUUGCCUCCUUUCUCCCUGAGAGACUCAAAUCGAAGCUCAACCUGAGGGUUUCCACUUCACAUGUCAUUAGUAUUCCUAAGUUUAGAAGGAUUCAAGGAAAUUUGAAGGUCUUUCUCAACAUUUGUGGAAUCUAAGGUAAAGGUGUUGGAAGUUUUUUUUUUUGUUCACUUGUCGAAGAACCUCCGCGGCUCCUCCCAAAUCAACCGAGAGAAUUCAUGCGAAGAAAUGUACGGGGCAAGACGGCAAGUGUCACCUAUUUUAACAAGAACUAUAGGGUACCAGUGGAGCACCACAUAGCACCCACUCCCACUAAUAGGAAGUGGGUCCCGGAGAAUGGGGUGGACAAGUGAUGCACAUCUUCUAUUAACGGUGGCGCUUAACACUAGUGAUGCUCCCAAGCAUUUUUUAUCUCAACAAUUAAGGCCCCGUUAAUUUUACCGAUUUGAGUUUUGCUACAAUC